AGGCGGGACCGCGACGCGCGGGAUGAGAAGGAGUGGAGCAGUCGGGGCGCUCACGUCAGAGACAGAGUCUCGCUCCAUAGCCCAGGCUGCAAUGCAGUGAUGUGAUCAUAGCUUGCUGCAGCCUCAAUCUCCUGGGCUCAACCGAUCAUGCUGCCUUAGCCUCCCCUGUUACAGAGACAAGGUCAUACUAUGUUGCGCAGGCUGGUCUCGAACUCCUAGCCUUGAUCCUCCUGCUUCAGCUUCCCAAAGUGCUGGGAUUACAAGCAUGAGCCACUGUGCCCAGCUGUAUACUGGAUAUCUGAGACUUGGUACCAAAAAAAAAAUAAUUAAGAAAAGACAGGGUCUUGCUUUGUCACCCAGGCUGAAGUGCAAUGGCACAACCAUGGCUCACUGCAGCGUCAAACUCCUGGGCUCAAGUGAUCCUUCCAACUCAACCUCCUAAGUAGCUGGGACUACAG
Pan troglodytes (chimpanzee) is the source of this 458-nucleotide long non-coding RNA. RefSeq lists it as uncharacterized. Lineage: Eukaryota; Metazoa; Chordata; Mammalia; Primates; Hominidae. The transcript is spliced from 4 exons. The record is from RefSeq and is a predicted model, not a curated record.